Molecule: ribosomal RNA, 486 nt
Filed under: uncultured bacterium
Lineage: Bacteria
Description: partial 16S ribosomal RNA
Rfam family: Bacterial small subunit ribosomal RNA
Source: RNAcentral
AUUGAACGCUGGCGGCAUGCCUUACACAUGCAAGUCGAACGGCAGCACGGGUGCUUGCACCUGGUGGCGAGUGGCGAACGGGUGAGUAAUACAUCGGAACAUGUCCUGUAGUGGGGGUUAGCCCGGCGAAAGCCGGAUUAAUACCGCAAACGAUCUACUGAUGAAAGCGGGGGACCUUCGGGCCUCGCGCUAUAGGGUUGGCCGAUGGCUGAUUAGCUAGUUGGUGGGGUAAAGGCCUACCAAGGCGACGAGCAGUAGCUGGUCUGAGAGGACGACCAGCCACACGGGAACUGAGACACGGACCAGACUCCUACGGGAGGCAGCAGUGGGGAAUGUUGGACAAUGGGCGAAAGCCUGAUCCAGCAAGGCCGCGUGUGUGACGAAGGCCUUCGGGUUGUAAAGCACUUUUGUCCGGAAAGAAAUCCUUGGCCCUAAUACGGUCGGGGGAUGACGGUACCGGAAGAAUAAGCACCGGCUAACUACGUG